GUCGCAAGGAGGCCGGUUUCGCGAUAACG
Molecule: small RNA, 29 nt
Filed under: Bombyx mori (domestic silkworm)
Lineage: Eukaryota; Metazoa; Arthropoda; Insecta; Lepidoptera; Bombycidae
Description: ovarian small RNA-17780
Source: RNAcentral